Non-coding RNA from Salmo salar (Atlantic salmon), 52 nucleotides. The record is from Rfam. NCBI's taxonomy places the organism in Eukaryota, Metazoa, Chordata, Actinopteri, Salmoniformes, Salmonidae.
UACACGCAUGACUGAGUCGCUUUGGAUAAAAGCAUCUUCUAAAUGACAUAUA